Molecule: small nuclear RNA, 105 nt
Organism: Monodelphis domestica (gray short-tailed opossum)
Lineage: Eukaryota; Metazoa; Chordata; Mammalia; Didelphimorphia; Didelphidae
Source: Ensembl
UUGCUUUAGCAGCACAUAUACUAAAAUUGGAAUGAUACAGAGAAGAUUAGCAUGGACCCCGCGCAAGAAUGACACACAAGAUGACUCAGCAGUUAUGCCAUAUCU